Oncorhynchus kisutch (coho salmon) is the source of this 718-nucleotide non-coding RNA. The record is from the annotation of a RefSeq genome assembly. Lineage: Eukaryota; Metazoa; Chordata; Actinopteri; Salmoniformes; Salmonidae.
ACUUUGGGGUGGAGCUUGUAGCGAAACUAAGCAGGAACGAUCAACAGAAAACAUUUGCAGAUUCAUUUGGUUUGGAGUUUUCAGGUUCUGUUGUGCUAUUAGUCAGUUUGACUUCCAACCAUAGCCAUGUUCAUGUUCAUCUGCUCAAUUAUUACGUUCUCAGUAAUAGGUGGCAGUUAUGAGCAGACUAUAGAGCCAAACCAACAUGAAGUGUAUGCAGAAGUGGGUAGUAAUGUUCUUCUUUCCUGCAACUACUCCUCAGCAGACAGUCUACUAUGGUAUCAACAGUCUCCAGGAUCAGCUCCCCAAUACCUUCUGCUCAUCCAGCACUACACUGGGACUGAAAAUAGAGAUGAUUCUCUUGACUCUCGCUUUUCUGGUAAACUGAACAAAGAGAAGACCCGUGUGGAUCUGGAGAUCUCCUCUGCUGAAGAGACAGACUCUGCUAUGUACUACUGUGCUCUGAAGCCCACAGUGACAGGAAACCCAGAAACACUGUACAAAAACCUAACAUCGCCUGAGAGAGUUUCUACACUGUAGUUACAGGUUUCGUUUGACAAUAGCUCCAUCAAGUGGAGUCUAUAUGCAGCCAUUAUAUUGUGUCAAGAUGAGGAGCUUAGUUUUACAAAUCAUGUGUCAUGAGAGUAACUGAGUGAAUGUUCCAAGAGAAGAUCAUUUAACAGAGAAGUCUCUGUCUAACACCCAGUCGCUAUGAUGC